GCUUCUUCGCGCCUCCCGGCCCCGGCCUGGCGUCCGUGGGGCGCUGUGCGUCUCCGAGAACGAAGCGGCCUCCGGGUUCGUGUGCUCCGAGCCCGAGUACUGUUUGCGGCCGUCGUCCCGUCCUGGAGCAGGAGUGAGGAAGCGCCUCUCACUCCCCCGCGAACCCGCAGAACAGGCCGCCGGCGCUAUGGAGACCGGCGGAGCUUCCCGCUCCUUCACCAAGGGGCCCUGACGCGCAGUUGAAAGCGCGGAUUUUGCCGGGCGCGGCGGCUGCGUCCGGAGUCCCAGCGCCUUGGGAGGCGAGGCGGGAGGAUCCCCACGGCCCGGGAGCUCGAGACCAGCCCGGGCAAAUAUUUUGAAAGUCAUGUUACAGAAGCUCUCAGUGGGCUGUGGAGACGCUGCCGUCUCCUGAACACAUCCAGCGACCACAUGACUAAGCAAAGGCAGCGGAGAGUGGACGGACGGUGAUGGACGCGGCCACGGAGCCCAAGCGCCCACAAUGCGCAUUCCUGUCUUUUCUCUCCCCGCUCACCUCAGAGCGGGACGGAAGGUGGGACUGGGAGAGCUGUUCUCGGGCAGGUGGACGCUGUGGAUUAGCGGAGAGGGAAGGCACUUUCGUUCUCGGCACCGUGAGGCUGUCCUGGUCAAUCCUGUUUUCAUGCUUGAGGGUCUCUGGUGCAGCAGCUCCACCAGCCUUGACACCAGGACUUCUGUGGAAUCCAGGUAAGCAGCCAGGGUCCUGAUAGGGCCAUGCCCUCACCCCCAUGUAAUGCAUCCACUCCCAGUUAAAUGAGAAAGGAACAAUCACAGGAAAACAUGGAGAACAACUCCACUGUUCAGAAGCCAACCCUAUAUUAGCUACUGUUUAGGUAGAAAUGAAAAACUUUGAGACGUAAACUCCUGCAGGUAGAAGUAGAUUUCCGGUGAAUGAACAAAAUGAAGCUUAUUAGAAUCAAUGGCCUCUUCUGAGAGCCGUUCUGAAUUUUUUUUUUUUUGAGACGGAGUCUUGCUAUGUCGCCCAGGCUGGAGUGCAGUGGCGCGAUCUCGG
RNAcentral lists this long non-coding RNA (1048 nucleotides) under Homo sapiens (human). RNAcentral describes it as "non-protein coding lnc-PGAM5-3:1". Lineage: Eukaryota; Metazoa; Chordata; Mammalia; Primates; Hominidae. The record is from RNAcentral.